UGCCAGGUCUACCUCCAGAUUGUGAGGUGCUACUUUGGACUUGACGAACUCUUAUAGUAGGCAACAGAAACUCUUUACUGCAGAAAAACCGUAGUAGGUUUGAUGCUCAACAGAUUGCUCUGGAGUUAGUUAUAAGUUAAUAAUAAGUAUCCAUUGAUAUGUGUGACAAAACAUACCAACUGGUGUCAACAUCAGCUAGGCUAUGUUGGCAUUUUCUGAUGGUUCUUCAUGACUGACCAUAAGGUACAAAAUAAAUAAUACAGAAAUACAGUGCUGGGCAUUGGUAGACAAUCAUAUUAAUCUGUCUAUGUAUCUAUUUCUUCUGUGUAAGCAGUUUCUUAUGGAUCCCCAGUUGCUGCCUCCUUCUGAAGCACAGGUUAUUAGAGAGGCUGAAAACCAGACUGGAACAGGCUCUUCAAAGGCAGCCUCUGGACCUGGACUAUUUAGAGUUCCUCUGUACCAGUGAGUUGAGCCUAGUUUACUGAGUACUCACAUGCCAUUUCCAGAAGAGGUCAUAGGCAGACGGGAAAAGCAGGCCUUAAAAGAGGGCUACAGGAUACUGGGGUGCUCCCAAUGAUAACAGAACGGCCAGAACUGGCUAGAGUUCUGUUCCCACAAGGUGUCUCAUCUCUGAUGGAUCCUAAGAUGAUUUUGAAAAGAGUCGUUUGACCAGAUGAGACGGAGGUUGACGAAGAUGAAAUGGAAGACUGCUGUGUCACAGCCUACCUCAGACAAUACGCUUUUCUUUAGAGACAUUGAAAGACCUGGUGGUCUUCUGGACGGGAUGGUCUGUUGGCAGGGGCAAUGCCGACUGUACUUUGAAACUCCCC
This is a long non-coding RNA of Alosa alosa (allis shad), 830 nucleotides long. RefSeq lists it as uncharacterized. The transcript is spliced from 5 exons. NCBI's taxonomy places the organism in Eukaryota, Metazoa, Chordata, Actinopteri, Clupeiformes, Clupeidae. The record is from RefSeq and is a predicted model, not a curated record.